GUGGGUGUGGCCUAGCUGGUAGGGCGUCAGAUUGUGGCUCUGAAGGUCGUGGGUUCGAGCCCCAUCACUCACCCCA
RNAcentral lists this transfer RNA (76 nucleotides) under Peptostreptococcaceae bacterium oral taxon 113 str. W5053. RNAcentral describes it as "tRNA-His". It matches the Rfam family "tRNA". From Rfam's summary of the family: Transfer RNA (tRNA) molecules are approximately 80 nucleotides in length. Their secondary structure includes four short double-helical elements and three loops (D, anti-codon, and T loops). The record is from RNAcentral. RNAcentral also lists the same sequence under 1 other name. Lineage: Bacteria; Bacillati; Bacillota; Clostridia; Peptostreptococcales; Peptostreptococcaceae.